This 87-nucleotide transfer RNA is filed under the name bacterium. RNAcentral describes it as "tRNA-Ser". It matches the Rfam family "tRNA". Rfam says of the family: Transfer RNA (tRNA) molecules are approximately 80 nucleotides in length. Their secondary structure includes four short double-helical elements and three loops (D, anti-codon, and T loops). The record is from RNAcentral. RNAcentral also lists the same sequence under 2 other names.
GGAGGGGUGGCAGAGCGGCUGAUUGCACCGGUCUUGAAAACCGGAGACGGGGAAACCCGUUCCAGGGUUCAAAUCCCUGCCCCUCCG